UUGUCCAUCAACCAUUUGUUUCUUAACUUCAUAAUUCAUUGCAAGCCUCCAAACAACAAAGAUUAUUUGAAUGAUAAAAGAAGGAAAGAAAAGAAACAAAAUUCAUAAACGAUUCUUGACAAGAAAAUCCAGAUCCAGGUCUUUACUCACCAAAACCUUAAUGACUUGACAAAGUACGUACCUUUUAGUCUCAAACCACUAAUCAACAGUUUGAUCCAAGUCAGAUCUGGAGCACAAUCAGAGUAAAACUAACAAAAAUACAUCCAACGAAUAAAAAUUAGGUCAAAGUAUAAACAUUAAAAAGAAAAAGACCCUGAACAAGUUAAUGAGCAUCUCAAAAAGUUCAGAUUUGACUUUAAUACUUGAAUAGAAACUAAGUGGCAGCGGCUUUUAAACUUGCACCAGAAUUUCAUCAGAUUUCUCCAUAGGUUCUUCUUAUGGAAGCUUCGUUACACCCAAAAGAAGAAGAGCGACGAAUAGAGAUCUGGGUUUGGGGACUGCAGAUCUAAAAGUUUCAACAACAUCGCUGUCUGGUAAAAGUUUCAACAACAGAUCUAAUAGUAUUAUCACAGAUUCACAGAUCUAAAAGUAUUAUCACAGAUCUAAAAGUAUUAUCACAGAUCUUACAAAGAUUUAAAAAAAACGUACAAAAUAGGGUAAAAAACGGUACCGGUUCCAUGGAUGAAAGGGGAGAAGACGGUGAUGGCAAAGACAGGUUCCAUGGAUGAAAGGUGGAGGUGCGGUGGAGGUGCUUCAGUUAUGCGGUGGAGGAUCUAGGGUUUAGAGAGUGAA
Molecule: long non-coding RNA, 792 nt
Filed under: Helianthus annuus (common sunflower)
Lineage: Eukaryota; Viridiplantae; Streptophyta; Magnoliopsida; Asterales; Asteraceae
Description: sRNA HanXRQr2_Chr16g0748951
Source: RNAcentral